Molecule: small RNA, 19 nt
Filed under: Arabidopsis thaliana (thale cress)
Lineage: Eukaryota; Viridiplantae; Streptophyta; Magnoliopsida; Brassicales; Brassicaceae
Description: ATSL016840
Source: RNAcentral
UUUUUUUUGGUUUUUCUCU